UUUCCGGCGAUUUAAGUCACCAAUUGUUGCCCCGUUUGUUGCUACUUAAGCUCCACACCCUCCUCUUCAUUUCCCCUCAAACGGCACACCAAGAGAGCCACCAGGCUGCUCGAAUUUGACCUCGCAAGUCUACGGUGCCGGCGACUUUUCGGGACGAUUCCGAGACAGAGCCAUAAUCAUCUGUGAAUACGUUCGCGGGAAAGUUCUCCGGUGGCGAUUUCCGGCGAACUACUGCACCUCAUCGUCCACGACUUCCCCAUCGAGAUUCCCUUGCCAAGCCGAUCUCCUUCGUCCGCUUCGCCAUCAUCGGAAUCAUUGGAACAUCAACCUUCGACGAUAUAUCACAGCAAACUGAGUUGCUAUUGUGGUUGUGCUGAUUGCAACGAGUGUUUCUGCGAAGAGUGUACCAA
Long non-coding RNA from Lolium rigidum, 410 nucleotides. RefSeq lists it as uncharacterized. The record is from RefSeq and is a predicted model, not a curated record. NCBI's taxonomy places the organism in Eukaryota, Viridiplantae, Streptophyta, Magnoliopsida, Poales, Poaceae. The transcript has 3 exons.